This 275-nucleotide ribosomal RNA is filed under the name uncultured Singulisphaera sp. RNAcentral's name for it is "partial 16S ribosomal RNA". It matches the Rfam family "Bacterial small subunit ribosomal RNA", at positions 338 to 611 of the family's 1533-position model. Lineage: Bacteria; Pseudomonadati; Planctomycetota; Planctomycetia; Isosphaerales; Isosphaeraceae. The record is from RNAcentral.
CCUACGGGGGGCUGCAGUCGAGGAUCUUCGGCAAUGGGCGCAAGCCUGACCGAGCGACGCCGCGUGGGGGACGAAGGCCUUCGGGUUGUAAACCCCUGUCGAGGGGGAGCAAGGCGCCGUGCAGAGCGGUGCUUGAGCGAUCCCUGGAGGAAGCACGGGCUAAGUUCGUGCCAGCAGCCGCGGUAAGACGAACCGUGCGAACGUUAUUCGGAAUCACUGGGCUUAAAGCGCGUGUAGGCGGGCCGCCGCGUCGGAUGCUGAAAGCCCCCGGCUCA